RNAcentral lists this ribosomal RNA (226 nucleotides) under uncultured bacterium. RNAcentral describes it as "partial 16S ribosomal RNA". It matches the Rfam family "Bacterial small subunit ribosomal RNA", at positions 109 to 334 of the family's 1533-position model. The record is from RNAcentral.
AGUAACGCGUGAGGAACCUGCCUCAAAGAGGGGGACAACAGUUGGAAACGACUGCUAAUACCGCAUAAGCCACGGCUCGGCAUCGAGCAGAGGGAAAAGGAGCAAUCCGCUUUGAGAUGGCCUCGCGUCCGAUUAGCUAGUUGGUGAGGUAACGGCCCACCAAGGCGACGAUCGGUAGCCGGACUGAGAGGUUGAACGGCCACAUUGGGACUGAGACACGGCCCAG